RNAcentral lists this ribosomal RNA (404 nucleotides) under Bacteroidota bacterium. RNAcentral describes it as "Bacteroidetes bacterium partial 16S ribosomal RNA". It matches the Rfam family "Bacterial small subunit ribosomal RNA", at positions 355 to 776 of the family's 1533-position model. The record is from RNAcentral. Lineage: Bacteria; Pseudomonadati; Bacteroidota.
UGGGGAAUAUUGCACAAUGGGCGCAAGCCUGAUGCAGCAACGCCGCGUGAACGAUGAAGGUCUUCGGAUCGUAAAGUUCUGUUGCAGGGGAAGAUAAUGACGGUACCCUGUGAGGAAGCCCCGGCUAACUACGUGCCAGCAGCCGCGGUAAUACGUAGGUGGCAAGCGUUGUCCGGAUUUAUUGGGCGUAAAGCGAGCGCAGGCGGUCAAUUAAGUCUGAUGUGAAAGCCCCCGGCUCAACCGGGGAGGGUCAUUGGAAACUGGUUGACUUGAGUGCAGAAGAGGAGAGUGGAAUUCCAUGUGUAGCGGUGAAAUGCGUAGAUAUAUGGAGGAACACCAGUGGCGAAGGCGACUCUCUGGUCUGUAACUGACGCUGAGGUUCGAAAGCGUGGGUAGCAAACAGG